RNAcentral lists this long non-coding RNA (853 nucleotides) under Bos taurus (domestic cattle). RNAcentral's name for it is "long non-coding RNA NONBTAT000487". The record is from RNAcentral. Lineage: Eukaryota; Metazoa; Chordata; Mammalia; Artiodactyla; Bovidae.
UGCUUUUACACGUCUUUUGUAGGAGUUUGAAAGUGGAAAAACUAGAAAGAAAGAGCACACGGAAGGCUUUCAAGAACGAUUAGAGAGAUCCUCUUAUCCUAGAGGGCAGGAAGGCGGGAUGAAGCUCUGUAAUAGAAGGUGAGGAAGAAUAAAAAAGAAUGCAGACGUCUCCGGGUGCCAUUUCACUGGAAGACCAUUGCCGACCUGACGCUGCUCGAAUUUGUUGGUUGCGAUCAUCUAUCAUUUUCAUUUGCCCCAAAGGCGGUUUCCUGCGAGCUGGAGAUGACCGUGUUAAGAAAGGUCCUGGGGGGCUCCUAAUUAGGGGAAGCGAGUAUGUGGCACUGGGGGAUGGAUUUGGAACUUCCGGCUUGGGUUCCUAGAUACCUAGAUCUGGAAGGUACAGAGCCGUGGGUGAUAGCAUGGAGACCAGGGUCUGCUAAUUCCAAGAUGGGAAUUUGGGGCCCUGGAACCGUGGUCACAACUCCGUCUUCCUGGUUUCACUUCCUAUUUCAUAACCCCUCCUCUUCUGAAACAGGUGUCCUCCACCUAGUGGAGCGCUUCCACCUCCAGGUUUGGAAAUGUCCCAGAUCUUAGACGUCCGGGGACUAGACCAGGUAACUUCCAGAAGGUGCACACGGGGCAUGGCAUGGUGGGAAUUACUUGAGCCUGUGUACAGAGGAAGCUGAACUUGUGUUGGGAAAAGGUGUAAAGUUAAACAGUAACCGCACCAGCAGUUUAAAAGCUAUGAUGAAACGAAUACAAGGCUUUUAGUGUUAUUUCUAAACUAUGGCACUGUGAACAGUCUGGAAAUUUUCUUUAACUUUUGCAUCUCAGCAUAUGAAUUUCUAGUUAG